Long non-coding RNA from Cryptotermes secundus, 665 nucleotides. RefSeq lists it as uncharacterized. The transcript has 2 exons. Lineage: Eukaryota; Metazoa; Arthropoda; Insecta; Blattodea; Kalotermitidae. The record is from RefSeq and is a predicted model, not a curated record.
CAAGGGAGGACUUUAGAAAUAAUCCCGCUCGUUCGAAUUAUUGUUUCUCAAAAUUAUAGGUGAUUGUGCAUUUCAGUGAACUAGGUACACAUGAUUGGACACAGUUGGGGUAUCUACGGAAUUCGAAAUUUUGUGAAAUAACACAAACAGUUGCGCUUCCUUGUGCAUUUACUUCAAGAUAUCGAAGCUAUUUCGAAGUAUGUGGUCGACUUUGUCGAAUGUCCAUCACUGUUUGUACCAUUCUAGAGAGCUGUAUCGUGACUCAUUAUAUCCAGUUGCUAACAAAUUUAUAAAAGGCAAAACAAUUUCAAUUGAACGGCAAUCAAAUGAUUUCUUAUAAAGGAUUAGAGUGCUCUAUACACCAUCCUUCAUCGCUAGAAGGAUGAUGUACAGAAUACUCUAAUGGUCUGGUUCAAGAUACGAUUUAAUCUAGGAGUCGGGAUAGCGCAGUCGGUAUAGCGACUGGCUAUGGGAAGGACGACCAAGGGGUCGAGUUCGAGACCCAGUAGGGUCAAGAAUUUUCAAUUCUUCACGUCGUCCAGACCAGUUCUGGAGCCCACCCAUCCUACUGUCCAAUGGGUUAGGGGGGCUCUUUUCCCUGGGGUAAGGCAGCCGGGGCACGAAGCUAACCAUUCACUCCCAACUAGUGCCGAGGUCAAAAAACG